Long non-coding RNA from Oncorhynchus tshawytscha (Chinook salmon), 374 nucleotides. RefSeq lists it as uncharacterized. The transcript has 3 exons. Lineage: Eukaryota; Metazoa; Chordata; Actinopteri; Salmoniformes; Salmonidae. The record is from RefSeq and is a predicted model, not a curated record.
CGACAUCCUCAGGCACUGCAGAGAGAGGGAGAGUCAGGUGUCAAGACAGCUCAGUGAACUACUGGUGCAUCUUGGGGCUAAAGCUACUACAGCUAACGUCCUAAGGCAAGAGAGAAAUGUCAGAGGGAGAGUGUCAGAUUGAAGAAAUUGAACUAGUGGGCAGGCAGUUAACCCACUGUUCCCCAGGCGCCAAAGACGUGGAUGUCGAUCAAGGCAGCCCCCGGCACCUCUCCGAUUCAGAAAUGUGACUGAAACAGCGAGCGCAGCAGCGUACAUAACUGAAAUACAAUCCAGGUGACUACCUCAUGACGCUGGUUGAGAGAAUGCCAAGAGUGUGCAAAGCUGUCAUCAAGGCAAAGGGUGGCUACUUAAAA